UAUGAAGAACGUAGCGAAAUGCGAUAAGUAAUGUGAAUUGCAGAAUUCAGUGAAUCAUCGAAUCUUUGAACGCACAUUGCGCCCGCCAGUAUUCUGGCGGGCAUGCCUGUCCGAGCGUCAUUUCAACCAUCAAGCCCCCGGGCUUGUGUUGGGGACCUGCGGCUGCCCGCAGGCCCUGAAAACCAGUGGCGGGCUCGCUGUCACACCGAGCGUAGUAGCAAUCACCUCGCUCAGGGCGUGCUGCGGGUUCCGGCCGUUAAACAGCCUUACAAAACCCAAGGUUGACCUCGGAUCAGGUAGGAAGACCCGCUGAACUUAAGCAUAUCAAUAAGCGGAGGA
RNAcentral lists this unclassified non-coding RNA (339 nucleotides) under soil metagenome. RNAcentral describes it as "partial contains 5.8S ribosomal RNA, internal transcribed spacer 2, and large subunit ribosomal RNA". The stretch from base 2 to 120 matches the Rfam family "5.8S ribosomal RNA", at positions 36 to 154 of the family's 154-position model. The record is from RNAcentral.